ACGGGAGAUGGAAGUCAAUGCACGGGAAAAAAAAGGAAAAAGUUUGGUGUUAGAAAGAAAGGUUGUCACAUGGGGAAGCUCAACUUUUAGUGGGCGGCAGGGACUCGGUAAAGCAAGUUCCCGCGAGAUUUGCAAUGGGGCAUGGCGAGGACGGAAGUUGGAAUGUUGUGGUGCCGUGGUGAUGAGAGUGGGCCAGGCUUUAGCUGAGGAUAAAGGACAGAGAAAAGUUUAUUAGGGUUGGCCCAACAACUUUGUUUCGCAAAUAGCCGGCCCAUUUAGGUACCUGUCAAACUUCUGUGAGAAAUUUUGGUGCACACUAAUGAAUGCAGAAAGAUUCUCGUUCUUUUUUGGCAGCAACAGCGUCUAGCUUUUGCAUGGGGAUGUGGGCUGGUUCCAUUGGCCGUGGGAGCC
This 411-nucleotide long non-coding RNA is filed under the name Phoenix dactylifera (date palm). RNAcentral describes it as "long non-coding RNA (PDAC_LNC000630)". The record is from RNAcentral. Lineage: Eukaryota; Viridiplantae; Streptophyta; Magnoliopsida; Arecales; Arecaceae.